GCCAUAUAAGGACAUUGUAAUCUAUUAAUGUUUAAAUGCGUAUUAUAAGAACAUUGACAAUAGUUUAUGUGUUAUUUAAUUUAUUAAAUUCAUAUAAAUGUUUAUGCUUCGAAUAUGCCAUUGAUAGAUUUUCCAUAUAUUGUACUUAAAUCUUUUGAUUUUAUAAUAAUAUAAUUAUCAUUGAUUGUUGUAUUUAUUAUAUGUACAUAUAUGAUUGACAAUGCGAAAGAUUCAGGAUA
RNAcentral lists this ribosomal RNA (239 nucleotides) under Melaloncha maculata. RNAcentral describes it as "partial 28S ribosomal RNA". The record is from RNAcentral. Lineage: Eukaryota; Metazoa; Arthropoda; Insecta; Diptera; Phoridae.